UGAAUUUAAUCUGGUUUGUGUCCU
This 24-nucleotide non-coding RNA is filed under the name Arabidopsis thaliana (thale cress). The record is from RNAcentral. Lineage: Eukaryota; Viridiplantae; Streptophyta; Magnoliopsida; Brassicales; Brassicaceae.